CCCUUAGAUGUUCUGGGCCGCACGCGUGCUACACUGAGUAAUUCAAUGGGUACGGGAACGCUAGAGCAUUACCUAAUCUUGAAAUUUGCUCGUGAUGGGGAUCGACGGUUGCAAUUUUCCGUCGUGAACGAGGAAUACCUUGUAGGCGCAUGUCAUCAUCAUGCGCCGAAUACGUCCCUGCCCUUUGUACACACCGCCCGUCGCUCCUACCGAUUGAGUGAUCCGGUGAGGCUCUGGGACCUGGACGGAAAGAGCGUUUCGCUUGUUCUGUUUGGGAAACUUGGUCGAACCUUAUCAUUUAGAGGAAGGAGAAGUCGUAACA
This 322-nucleotide ribosomal RNA is filed under the name uncultured eukaryote. RNAcentral describes it as "partial 18S ribosomal RNA". It matches the Rfam family "Eukaryotic small subunit ribosomal RNA", at positions 1470 to 1796 of the family's 1831-position model. The record is from RNAcentral.